AGAGGGCUAGUUUAAUAAAACGUUUGAUUUCGGCUCAAAAAUUUGUGGUUAAAGCCCACAGCCAAUCU
This 68-nucleotide transfer RNA is filed under the name Lethrinus obsoletus (orange striped emperor). RNAcentral describes it as "tRNA-Arg". The stretch from base 5 to 64 matches the Rfam family "tRNA". From Rfam's summary of the family: Transfer RNA (tRNA) molecules are approximately 80 nucleotides in length. The record is from RNAcentral. Lineage: Eukaryota; Metazoa; Chordata; Actinopteri; Spariformes; Lethrinidae.